This 463-nucleotide ribosomal RNA is filed under the name Trichia sakaii. Its description in RNAcentral is "partial 16S ribosomal RNA". The stretch from base 324 to 463 matches the Rfam family "Bacterial large subunit ribosomal RNA", at positions 2473 to 2613 of the family's 2925-position model. The record is from RNAcentral. Lineage: Eukaryota; Metazoa; Arthropoda; Malacostraca; Decapoda; Xanthidae.
CAAAGGUAGCAUAAUCAUUAGGGGUUUAAUUGGAAUCUAGAAUGAAGGGUUGGAUGAAAGAAAAACUGUCUUUUUUACAUAAAUUGAAAUUUACUUUUAAGUGAAAAGGCUUAAAUAAAUCAAAGGGACGAUAAGACCCUAUAAAGCUUUAUAAUUAAUUUAAAUUUAAUUAAUUUAAAGAAAUAAAAGUUAAAUUUAAUUAUAUUAUUUUAUUGGGGUGAUAUGAGUAUAAUUAAUAUUAACUGCUUAGAUAAAGAUUCUGUUAUUAAAGUGUUACAAUAUAAUGAUCCUAUUUAUAGAUUAGAAGAUCAAGUUACUUUAGGGAUAACAGCGUUAUUUUUUUUGAGAGUUCAUAUCGAAAAAAGAGAUUGCGACCUCGAUGUUGAAUUAAAAUAUCUGUAUAAUGCAGCCGUUAUAGAAGAGGGUCUGUUCGACCUUUAAAAUUUUACAUGAUUUGAGUUCA